GGGUUCCUCGGUACUGAAGUUAACACAUUAAGUACUCCGCCUGAGUAGUACGUACGCAAGUAUGAAACUUAAAGGAAUUGACGGGAUCCCGCACAAGCGGUGGAUCAUGUUGUUUAAUUCGAAGAUACACGAAAAACCUUACCAGGUCUUGACAUUAUCCUGCGAAGCUAUAGAAAUAUAGGGGAGGUUAUCAGGAUAACAGGUGGUGCAUGGUUGUCGUCAGCUCGUGUCGUGAGAUGUUAGGUUAAGUCCUAAAACGAGCGCAACCCUUGUCGUUAGUUACCAGCACGUUAUGGUGGGGACUUUAGCGAGACUGCCAAUGAAAAAAUUGGAGGAAGGUGAGGAUUACGUCAAAUCAUCAUGCCCCUUAUGAUCUGGGCUACAAACGUGAUACAAUGGCUAUUACAAAGAGCAGCUGAAACGUGAGUUGUUAGCUAAUCUCAAAAAAAUAGUCUCAGUUCGGAUUGAAGUCUGCAACUCGACUUCAUGAAGUUGGAAUCGCUAGUAAUCGCGAAUCAGCAUGUCGCGGUGAAUACGUUCUCGGGGUUUGUACACACCGCCCGUCAAACCAUGAAAGUUGACAAUACCCAAAACCAGUCGCUUAACUACUUCGGUAGAGGGAGCUGUCUAAGGUAGGGUCGAUGAUUGGGGUUAAGUCGUAACAAGGUAUCCCUACCGGAAGGUGGGGAUGGAUCACCUCCUUUCUAAGGAAAUGUCGUAUCAUGAUCAUCUUCAGUUUUGAAAGACUUAGAGUAGAUAAGUUUUUCUUUUGGCGUAGAGGAAGGGCCUAUAGCUCAGUUGGUAGAGCACACGCUUGAUAAGCGUGCGGUCAAUGGUUCAAGUCCAUUUAGGCCCACCAUACCACAUUC
Molecule: ribosomal RNA, 869 nt
Filed under: Coconut lethal yellowing phytoplasma
Lineage: Bacteria; Bacillati; Mycoplasmatota; Mollicutes; Acholeplasmatales; Acholeplasmataceae
Description: bacterial SSU rRNA
Rfam family: Bacterial small subunit ribosomal RNA (bases 1-704)
Source: RNAcentral